RNAcentral lists this long non-coding RNA (863 nucleotides) under Coturnix japonica (Japanese quail). RNAcentral's name for it is "lncRNA (ENSCJPG00005010939.1)". Lineage: Eukaryota; Metazoa; Chordata; Aves; Galliformes; Phasianidae. The record is from RNAcentral.
UGUUGGAUCCCUUUGGAUAGCCAGACUGUGCUAGUUGGCUUCCGGACCAUAAAAUGCUCCCUGGUACGAUUUAGACCAUUAGAAGAGGUGAGGCUGAAACACUUUGGGCUGUGUUCAGAUAUUUAGGGGAGAUCCAACUGGGAACAGCUGAGGUAAAUUGUAAGAGGAAGAAGGAAUGCACGAGAUCUUCAGUGCAGGGAUUGUCUGACCAGGCCUGUUCUACUGGCUUGUCCUAUAGAUCCAAAGCAGGAAUGAUCCCGGUGCUGACUCCUCCAUCGCUCUGGAAGGAGUGUUACAGAGAACACAGAACAGUUUGUGAAGAUGAAACCAGGACUGCUGUCUUUUGUUUUGACGCUUUGCUGUGUUCUGGGAUCACAGGUGUUACUACAAGAUUCCAGUUUUUCACUGGGGAGAAUCCAAGUGUUUCAAGUGAGUUCAAGCAGAAUUUCGCUGCGUUGAACUGGCCUGAUUUGGGAUGCAAACCGACCUCUGAAACACCGAAAUUUCCCGUGGGAGCAGAAAUUCGGAAUUCUGCUCAGCUCCAGUUACUCUGUGCAUGGAAAUGGCCUCAAGCAAACAAACAGCGCAGACAGGAGAUGCGCCUGGUAAGUAGGUUAAGCUGGAAGGGGUUCCCUGGUGGCUGCUCCUCUUCCUCUCUUCUGCCCAGGGAAACCUGGGAAUGGAACAGCACUGCAGAGUGGGCAGCAAUGAGCUCCCCUGCAAGGCAAAGGGAAGCAUACAUAUCUUUAAGCUCAGAAGUACAGCGGUCAUGUACACUCCAGGGCAGGUUGAUCUGGUCUGAAUGUGCUCCACUGACCUCAAAAGAGCAUCCCACCAAGAGGGUCACUGCAUCCUCUUUGUGA